AUUGAACGCUGGCGGCAUGCCUUACACAUGCAAGUCGAACGGCAGCGCGGGAGCAAUCCUGGCGGCGAGUGGCGAACGGGUGAGUAAUAUAUCGGAACGUGCCCAGUAGUGGGGGAUAGCCCGGCGAAAGCCGGAUUAAUACCGCAUGAGACCUGAGGGUGAAAGCGGGGGAGUCGCAAGACCUCGCGCUAUUGGAGCGGCCGAUAUCAGAUUAGCUAGUUGGUGGGGUAAAGGCCUACCAAGGCAACGAUCUGUAGUUGGUCUGAGAGGAUGAUCAGCCACACUGGAACUGAGACACGGUCCAGACUCCUACGGGAGGCAGCAGUAGGGAAUAUUGGACAAUGGGGGCAACCCUGAUCCAGCCAUGCCGCGUGAGUGAAGAAGGCCCUCGGGUUGUAAAGCUCUUUUGUCCGGAAAGAAAAGCAUCUGGUUAAUACCCGGGUGUUCUGACGGUACCGGAAGAAUAAGCACCGGCUAACUUCGUGCCAGCAGCCG
RNAcentral lists this ribosomal RNA (495 nucleotides) under uncultured bacterium. RNAcentral's name for it is "bacterial SSU rRNA". It matches the Rfam family "Bacterial small subunit ribosomal RNA", at positions 30 to 517 of the family's 1533-position model. The record is from RNAcentral.